Molecule: ribosomal RNA, 381 nt
Filed under: uncultured archaeon
Lineage: Archaea
Description: bacterial SSU rRNA
Rfam family: Archaeal small subunit ribosomal RNA
Source: RNAcentral
UAACACCGGCGCCCCGAGUGGUGACCAUGUUUAUUGGGCCUAAAGCGUCCGUAGCCGGUUUGAUAAGUCUCUCGUGAAAUCGUUGUGCAUAACACAACGGCGUGCGAGAGAUACUGUCAGACUUGAGACUAGGUGAAGCUAGAGGUAUUUUCGGGGUAGGGGUGAAAUCCAUUGAUCCCGGAAAGACCGCCGGUGGCGAAGGCGUCUAGCUAGAAUAGCUCUGACGGUGAGGGACGAAAGCUAGGGUAGCGAAUUGGAUUAGAUACCCAAGUAGUCCUAGCCGUAAACGCUGCUCACUAGGUGUUACGUGUCCUUAGGGGGUACGUAGUGCCGAAGCGAAGGCAUUAAGUGGGCCGCCUGGGGAGUACGGUCGCAAGGCUG